UGAAUUUUAGAAGAACUCAUUGCACAAAUUGUGUAAACCUACUAAGGAUGGCUGAUAGCAAAAUGGCUGUAUCCCAGUGGAGCCCCACAUUUGUAAAAGAGCUCCUCCCUGCUGCCGAAAAGACAGCUCUUCUCUACCAUCUCUCUUACCUGUGCCUGGCCAACUUCCCCAACCUGGAGAGGAUCAUCAGGAGUCGGGCUGUGGAAACCCAGCUUCUGUUUGGCUCCUCUGAUGCAACUAUGUUGAAAUGUAUUUUGACAAGUGAAAACCUGGUUCAGUCACUGUUUCCCAUGUUGGCGAAAGCUGUGGAGAAAAAUAAGGCAGUUUUGGCAGUCAAAUUUCUAGGGAAAGCACGAGUCUGGAUCAAAGAAAUUAUAAGUGAAGUGGACAGGAUAGUGCAAAAGUAUGAUUUACACAACAAAGAUGUAGCAUCAUCCACCAGUGAUGUUAUCAAGGAAAAAUUAGAUACUGAUAAAAAGAUUACAGAACAAGACCAUCAAAUGAAGCAGACUGAAAAUACUCUGAAUGAUCUGAAAUCAAAACUCCAAAAAAACACUGAAGAGCUUGCUGAAGUUGAGAGAAAGAUAAACUGCAAAAGCCAAGAGAUUCAAGAAUUUGCCAGAUCCAUAACCCAAAAAAGUAAAGGCCUUGGCAUCUUUGCUGCAAUUGUUCCAUUUAUCGGUCCAAUUGUGAAAAGCAUUUAUGAUGCUGUACAUGAUCCUGAAGAUGUUGCCCGUAUAAAGGCUCUUGAAGCUGAAUUGAAUAACCUCAUCGCUGAUAAGACUGCUCUGAGACAAAAGCAGUGGCAGCUCGAACUCCAAGUCAUUGAUUGGCAGAUGAAGUUUGCCAAAGCCAAUUUUGACCGGAAUUCCAUACCCGACCCCAUCCAUCUAAAUGAGGUUCAGAGCAGCUUGUCAAAAAUUCAGGCAAUUCUGAUUCAGCUGAAAAACUUCUGGGAGAAUGUUGCUCAAAUGCUGGACUACCUGGAACAAAAGACCUUUGUUGGAGAAGAUCUUAUUGAAGACCUUGCCGAACUAAAAGAUGAAUUUCUAGAAUCAAUCAAAACAGCGGAAGGGGCUUGGAGCAGUUUUGGUGAAGGCUGUAAAAAAGCAUCUUUCAUCUUCAAGCUCCAAACCAAAGAUGCCUACCAGUUUCUGGAGGUCAGUCCUUCCUCGCUCUCCAAGGAGCAGUGGCAAACAGAAUAUGAAAGUGUAAAGGAAAAACUGACAAAAAUAGACCCACCACAAAGUGUGACACCCUCUAAUACACCUGCCAUUUCUAAGUGAUCUACAUGUACAACUACAACAUCCCAUUUGUUUUCUGUUUCUUGAUGCUGGUAACCCGGGAUGAUAAUGUUUAGCUUUUUAAAUGCUGUACUUGUAAACUCUAGUUCUCUAGUCUCUUCUACUCAAUGCCUAAAACAAUCUUUAUAUAUUCUCUGCUCUGUAUGUAUCAUCUUUUUAUGAGUUCUUGCAAAAAGACUUUUGUUGAAUGCAUAAAUAUUUGGUUGAAUGGUUCUCUGAAUAAAGUUUGACAUAAUAACA
Molecule: long non-coding RNA, 1544 nt
Organism: Cyprinus carpio (common carp)
Lineage: Eukaryota; Metazoa; Chordata; Actinopteri; Cypriniformes; Cyprinidae
Source: Ensembl